UCCAGGGAGUCUUCUCUUCUCAUGAGGUGGCCAAAGUAUUGGAGCCUCAGCUUCACGAUCUGUCCUUCCAGUGAGCACUCAGGGCUGAUUUCCUUCAGAAUGGAGAGGUUUGAUCUUCUUGCAGUCCAUGGGACUCUCAAGAGUCUCCUCCAGCACCAUAAUUCAAAAGCAUCAAUUCUUCGGCGAUCAGCCUUCUUGAUGGUCCAGCUCUCACUUCCAUACAUCACUACUGGGAAAACCAUGGCUUUAACUAUACGGACCUUUGUUGGCAAG
RNAcentral lists this long non-coding RNA (273 nucleotides) under Podarcis lilfordi (Lilford's wall lizard). Lineage: Eukaryota; Metazoa; Chordata; Lepidosauria; Squamata; Lacertidae. The record is from RNAcentral.